RNAcentral lists this ribosomal RNA (253 nucleotides) under uncultured bacterium. RNAcentral describes it as "partial 16S ribosomal RNA". It matches the Rfam family "Bacterial small subunit ribosomal RNA", at positions 524 to 776 of the family's 1533-position model. The record is from RNAcentral.
GACGAAGGUGGCGAGCGUUGUUCGGAAUCACUGGGCAUAAAGCGCACGUAGGUGGCGGCGUAAGUCGGGUGUGAAAUCCCUCGGCCUAACCGAGGAACUGCGCCCGAUACUGCGUUGCUUGAGGAUCAGAGGGGUGCAUGGAAUUUCCGGUGGAGCGGUGAAAUGCGUUGAUAUCGGAAGGAACGUCGGCGGCGAAAGCGGUGCACUGGCUGAUCUCUGACGCUGAGGUGCGAAAGCCAGGGGAGCAAGCGGG